This 684-nucleotide non-coding RNA is filed under the name Parastrongyloides trichosuri. The record is from RNAcentral. Lineage: Eukaryota; Metazoa; Nematoda; Chromadorea; Rhabditida; Strongyloididae.
AUAAAUUUGAUUAUGGUUAGAUGUCGAGUUAAAAUAGUGUUAUUUAAUUUUAAUUCACUGAGUGGACAAUAGUAUUUUAUCCCGGUAAUUUAUUGCUCGUAUAAACCUUGUACCAGAAUAAUCGGAUAGACUAGGUGAGCUUAUACUCUAAAUGUGUUUCAAUUAUAAUUUAUAUUAUUAAAAUUUUUAGUUUUUAUUUGGUGGAAUAAGUAAAAUUUUUGGGUUUUUUUUGUAGUUGAUAAGAUUAGAUAUUCGACUUAGAUUAGUACCUAAUUAGUCUAAAUUAAGAAGUUUUCAGGAGUAAAGUAAUAUUUAAACUGUAAGAAUAUUGGCAGAUUUUUUAAUUAUCUUUGGAGGUUGAGUAGUAAUUGAGAACCCUCAUUAUUAGCUGUAUCUUUUGGCGCAUGUAUGAUCGUUUAUUUUACUCUUAAAGGGUAAUAGAAAAGUUUUUAAACUAUUAAAACAGAUAAAUACCUGGUUUAUGAUAUAGUUUUUAAUUUGACCUACAUUAUCUUAUGAUGUGGAUUAUUCGAAGAAAUUUGUUUAUGAAAAUGUAAAAGACAGUAAAUAGCUUUUAAUGGGUUGUUGAAGAUUAUCAAAAAAUGGUACAAAUCAUCCAUCAAUUGUCCAAAGGAGAGUAAGUUGUAGUAUAGUAGGUGUAAGGGAACUUGUACCUAGUAAUAA